GGAAGGAUCAUUACUCGAAUAGCACAUCCGAGGGGUGAGAUGAUCGGUCGAAGUUUGGUAGAUCGUACGGAUUGUCGCUGGCCUUUGGCAUCGAAGGCUUGUGCACGUUCCGAGCUCUCCUUAGUCCUCGAUCGCUCUUCCUUUGGAAGACCUUUCUCUUACCUGUGCACCUUAUUGUAUGUCCCGCAAGGGAUCUAUGUCUUUAUCUACCCCCAAACGUAUGUCUCAUAAUGUCAUUAAUGCGUCGAUCGGCCUGGCUAACGCCUUGUCGGCGACGGUUAAGAAUCAUACAACUUUCAGCAACGGAUCUCUUGGCUCUCGCAUCGAUGAAGAACGCAACGAAUUGCGAUACGUAAUGUGAAUUGCACAUUUUCAGUGAAUCAUCGAAUCUUUGAAUGCACCUUGCGCUCCUUGGUAUUCCGAGGAGCAUGCCUGUUUGAGUGUCAUCGAAUUCUCAACCAUCCCUUGAUUGAUUUCGAGGGAUGGCUUG
RNAcentral lists this unclassified non-coding RNA (490 nucleotides) under uncultured Melanogaster. Its description in RNAcentral is "sequence contains ITS1, 5.8S rRNA gene, ITS2". The stretch from base 292 to 446 matches the Rfam family "5.8S ribosomal RNA". Lineage: Eukaryota; Fungi; Basidiomycota; Agaricomycetes; Boletales; Melanogastraceae. The record is from RNAcentral.